CCUAGAGUUGUAGGCUUUGCCUGCUAUCUCUUACCCAUGUCUUUUGAGUACCUUCGUUUCCUCGGCGGGUCCGCCCGCCGAUUGGACAAUUUAAACCAUUUGCAGUUGCAAUCAGCGUCUGAAAAAACUUAAUAGUUACAACUUUCAACAACGGAUCUCUUGGUUCUGGCAUCGAUGAAGAACGCAGCGAAAUGCGAUAAGUAGUGUGAAUUGCAGAAUUCAGUGAAUCAUCGAAUCUUUGAACGCACAUUGCGCCCCUUGGUAUUCCAUGGGGCAUGCCUGUUCGAGCGUCAUUUGUACCUUCAAGCUCUGCUUGGUGUUGGGUGUUUGUCUCGCCUCUGCGCGCAGACUCGCCUCAAAACAAUUGGCAGCCGGCGUAUUGAUUUCGGAGCGCAGUACAUCUCGCGCUUUGCACUCAUAACGACGACGUCCAAAAGUACAUUUUUACACUCUUGACCUCGGAUCAGGUAGGGAUACCCGCUGAACUUAAGCAUAUCAAUAAGCGGAGGAAUCGUUCCCUUGGUCAUUUAGAGGAAGUAAAAGUCGUAACAAGGUCUCCGUUGGUGAACCAGCGGAGGGAUCAUUACCGAGUUUACAACUCCCAAACCCCUGUGAACAUACCACUUGUUGCCUCGGCGGAUCAGCCCGCUCCCGGUAAAACGGGACGGCCCGCCAGAGGACCCCUAAACUCUGUUUCUAUAUGUAACUUCUGAGUAAAACCAUAAAUAAAUCA
This 733-nucleotide unclassified non-coding RNA is filed under the name soil metagenome. RNAcentral's name for it is "partial contains internal transcribed spacer 1, 5.8S ribosomal RNA, and internal transcribed spacer 2". The stretch from base 140 to 293 matches the Rfam family "5.8S ribosomal RNA". The record is from RNAcentral.